Molecule: ribosomal RNA, 468 nt
Filed under: uncultured bacterium
Lineage: Bacteria
Description: partial 16S ribosomal RNA
Rfam family: Bacterial small subunit ribosomal RNA
Source: RNAcentral
GACGAACGCUGGCGGCGUGCUUAACACAUGCAAGUCGAACGGAAAGGCCCUGCUUUUGUGGGGUGCUCGAGUGGCGAACGGGUGAGUAACACGUGAGUAACCUGCCCUUGACUUUGGGAUAACUUCAGGAAACUGGGGCUAAUACCGGAUAGGAGCUCCUGCUGCAUGGUGGGGGUUGGAAAGUUUCGGCGGUUGGGGAUGGACUCGCGGCUUAUCAGCUUGUUGGUGGGGUAGUGGCUUACCAAGGCUUUGACGGGUAGCCGGCCUGAGAGGGUGACCGGCCACAUUGGGACUGAGAUACGGCCCAGACGCCUACGGGAGGCAGCAGUGGGGAAUAUUGCACAAUGGGCGGAAGCCUGAUGCAGCAACGCCGCGUGCGGGAUGACGGCCUUCGGGUUGUAAACCGCUUUCGCCUGUGACGAAGCGUGAGUGACGGUAAUGGGUAGAGAAGCACCGGCUAGCUACGUG